GGGCCCGCACAAGCAGCGGAGCGUGUGGUUUAAUUCGAUGUUACACGAAGAACCUUACCAGGGUUUGACAUGCAAGUGGUAGGAAGCCGAAAGGUGACCGACCCUUCGGGGAGCUUGCACAGGUGCUGCAUGGCUGUCGCCAGCUCGUGUCGUGAGAUGUUCGGUUAAGUCCGCUAACGAGCGCAACCCUCGCUGUGUGUUAUAUGUGUCACACGGGACUGCCGGUCUUAAGCCGGAGGAAGGUGGGGAUGAUGUCAAGUCAGCAUGGCCUUUAUAUCCUGGGCUACACACACGCUACAAUGGCCAACACAAUAGGUUGCUAAGCCGCGAGGUGGCGCCAAUCCAUAAAGUUGGUCUCAGUUCAGAUUGUAGGCUGCAACCCGCCUGCAUGAAGAUGGAGUUGCUAGUAACCGCAGGUCAGCUAUACUGCGGUGAAUACGUUCCCGGGGCUU
This 452-nucleotide ribosomal RNA is filed under the name uncultured Leptolinea sp. RNAcentral describes it as "bacterial SSU rRNA". It matches the Rfam family "Bacterial small subunit ribosomal RNA", at positions 917 to 1382 of the family's 1533-position model. The record is from RNAcentral. Lineage: Bacteria; Bacillati; Chloroflexota; Anaerolineae; Anaerolineales; Anaerolineaceae.